UAGGUGAACCAGCAGAAGGAUCAUGCCGGUCCGAAUUCGUCGACAACCUGGUUGAUCCUGCCAGUAGUCAUAUGCUUGUCUCAGAGAUUAAGCCAUGCAUGUCCAAGUACAUACCUUCAAACGGUGAAACCGCGAAUGGCUCAUUAAAUCAGCUAUUGUUCAUUGGAUCGUAAAAUACUACAUGGAUAACUGUAGUAAUUCUAGAGCUAAUACAUGCCAUUAUGCCCUAUGCCGCAAGGUUGUGGGUGGUUUUAUUAGAACAAAGCCAAUGGGUUGGGCUUCGGCCUUUCCCUACUGGUGAUGACUCUGGAUAACUUUACUGAUCGCAUUCGAAAGAAGGCGACGGAUCCUUCGAGUGGCUGCCCUAUCAAUUGUCGAUGGUAGGUGACCUGGCUACCAUGGUGAUAAGGGGUAACGGGGAAUCAGGGUUCGAUUCCGGAGAGGGAGCCUGAGAAACGGCUACCACAUCCAAGGAAGGCAGCAGGCGCGCAAAUUACCCAAUCCCGGCACGGGGAGGUAGUGACGAAAAAUACGGAGACGGGACUCGUAACGGGCCUCCGACAUCCGAAUGAGUGAAAUUUAAAUCCUUUAACGAGGAACAACUGGAGGGCAAGUCUGGUGCCAGCAGCCGCGGUAACUCCAGCUCCAGAAGCGUAUAUUAAAGUUGUUGCAGUUAAAAAGCUCGUAGUUGGAUCUGGGUCUCAUGGCUGUUCGCCGUGAUUGGCUUCAUGCAUUGAAUGUUGGUGUUAACGCGCCUUCAUUUGUGUUGUUGUUGGUCCGGUGUUAUGGUCGUGUAACCUUUCUGUCGUGUCUGUGCCUUUCUUCGGGAAGCGCAGGUGUUGGCCUUCUGUGUGUCGCAAGCCGUGCAGUUGGUUGGCAUGCUUUCGGGUGCUCUUUAUUGGGUGCUUGGAGCGGGCGGCAAGUUUACUUUGAACAAAUUUGAGUGCUCAAAGCAGGCCGUAGAGCCUGAAAAGUCUUGCAUGGAAUAAUGAAAUAGGACUUCGGUUCUAUUUUGUUGGUUUUCGGAUCCGAAGUAAUGGUUAAGAGGGACAAACGGGGGCAUUUGUAUGGCGGCGUUAGAGGUGAAAUUCAUGGAUCGUCGCCAGACAAACUACAGCGAAAGCAUUUGCCAAGGAUGUUUUCAUUGAUCUGGAGCGAAAGUCAGAGGAUCGAAGACGAUCAGAUACCGUCCUAGUUCUGACCAUAAACGAUGCCAACUGACGAUCCGAGGCGAGCUAAUUUUGGCCCCUCGGGCAGUCCCCGGGAAACCUUUAAGUCUUUGGGCUCCGGGGGAAGUAUGGUUGCAAAGCUGAAACUUAAAGGAAUUGACGGAAGGGCACCACCAGGAGUGGAGCCUGCGGCUUAAUUCGACUCAACACGGGAAAACUCACCCGGCCCGGACACUGUGAGGAUUGACAGAUUGAGAGCUCUUUCUUGAUUCGGUGGUUGGUGGUGCAUGGCCGUUCUUAGUUGGUGGAGCGAUUUGUCUGGUUAAUUCCGAUAACGAACGAGACUUUAACCUGCUAAAUAGUGUACUCGUCUUCUGUCUUGUUCAGUGUUCCUACUGCUUUGAUCCCUCGAGGGUUGAGGUGUUUGAAUUACUGGCUUGUACGGUGCGAGUGUCACUUCUUAGAGGGACAAGCGGCUUUCAGUCGUACGAAAAUGAGCAAUAACAGGUCUGUGAUGCCCUCAGAUGUCCGGGGCCGCACGUGCGCUACAAUGACGGUUUCAACGAGUAUGGGAACCUGGCCCGAAAUGGUUGGGUAAUCUGAGUCAUAACCGUCGUGACUGGGAUCGGGGUUUGCAAUUAUCCCCCGUGAACGAGGAAUUCCUGGUAAGUGCAAGUCAUAAGCUUGCGCUGAUUACGUCCCUGCCCUUUGUACACACCGCCCGUCGCUACUACCGAUUGAAUGGUUUAGCAAGGUCAUCGGAUUGCUUCAAUCAGUGGCGUAAGCUACACGAUUGAUGGUGAGAAGACGACCGAACUUGAUCAUUUAGAGGAAGUAAAAGUCGUAACAAGGUUUCCGUAGGUGAACCUGCAGAAGGAUCAAGCUGGA
Molecule: ribosomal RNA, 2057 nt
Filed under: Aphanurus mugilus
Lineage: Eukaryota; Metazoa; Platyhelminthes; Trematoda; Azygiida; Hemiuridae
Description: SSU rRNA
Rfam family: Eukaryotic small subunit ribosomal RNA
Source: RNAcentral